RNAcentral lists this unclassified non-coding RNA (6431 nucleotides) under Hevea brasiliensis (rubber tree). The record is from RNAcentral. Lineage: Eukaryota; Viridiplantae; Streptophyta; Magnoliopsida; Malpighiales; Euphorbiaceae.
GCCUUGAGCCUUUAAUAACUAUGAAUGGGAAAACUCGAAUUCGAGACUUCCUCACUCAAUGCACCUUUAAAAGCAAUUAAAGACCAACCAGACUACCCUCUAACUGGCAACUUUUUAAAUUUGGGGGUGACGAACAAAACAAUUAAAAUUGAUAAACAAAUAAAUAGCUCUGCUUAUGCCAUAUGGUACAUGGUAGAUCAUAUGAUAUAAGACCCAAAAGAAGAGGCAGGAAAACCAACAAUCAACUACAAAAAUCACAAGGCAUUCCAAAACCUUAAGAGUUGACAGUUUGAAUAAAAACAAAGUGGAAUGACAUGAAACUAAAAUCAGAACAUUUUGCACUUUGCAGUAUAGGAUGUUAAUGACUGACCAUUAACAGCUCCAUAAGCACACCUCUGUUGAAUUAAAAAUGCAACAUGAAGUCAAAAACAUUAAAUUUAAUGAAGACCAUUUGAAUUUGAUCAUUGUACUAUACCUUCCUCACAAUUGUUAACUUUGGAUUCAGUACUGCCAGACCACCAGGUGGUAACCUUGGUGCACCCGUAACGAACUGGCAGAAGGCACGCUGCUGCUCAGGGGUGAACUCUCCCAUAAUCUCCAGCAAAUUAAUGAUUGCAGGACUCUUGGCUGUGUAUCCAUGAUCAAACUUUAUAUGAUCAACAAGAGUCUCAGGCUCCCACAACUCUCGACGCCCACAAAGCAAAUAGUCCAACUCUUGUGGAGAAAAUAUUUGUAAGGAUGAGAUGUCAAACACCUGAUUAAACCCAGCUCUAAACGCUUCCAUCUGCCGCACAAUCCCAGUCUUCACUGUUGCAUCGACCACCAAAGAUAUGUAGCCUUCCAAGUUAGUUAUAUCAACAGUUUCUUCUCCAGGCUUCAAAAUGUAGUCAGGAUAACCAGGAAGGGUAAAAUCCAAGUAGAGAUCAUCGAUUGGUGUCCCACGAAAAUGUAAAUUAGCAAUAGCAUCACGAUUAUCAGUUCCUGAAGACUCUAUGUAAUGUUUUCUGCAAACAAGGGUCUGCAAUUCUUGCAAAACCUUCCCAAAUUCCACAUCGAAGGAAAGAAUAUCAUACAGAUCAAGCUCUUGACCAAGCACAAGCUUAUAAAAUGCUGUUGAAAGCGGAAGGUCCAAAAGGCGUCCAUCUUGAAGAGCUUUGGCCAUUACCCGUCCAACCAACCGGAAAUACUCAACAACCUUAUAAAACUGGCUACCCUCAGAAGCAUCAUUAUUAGGAGGAAAAGGACAAGGAAACAGACCAAGCAGUGCUUGGACAACAUCUGCGUCUCCCGGAGACCCAGAACCAUUAUUAAAUUUCCCAUUUUUGUUACAAUCUUCAUCAAUUUCCAUAGUUGGUUUCUCAGAUGAUGAAUUUGACCUCCACAUUCCGAGUGCAACUUUCUGUAAAUCAUGACUCAAAAGUGUGUAAAACUCCAAGGUAGGACCCAACCCUGUGCCAACUUCACCAAAAUAUUCUACUUCAAGUACAGCCUUCUGACUAGAAUACAUCUCCAUUACUUUUGCAGCAGAAUCCAAAAUGCGGUUGCGAGAAACACGAACCUUCUGACGUUGUAAUCUUCCAACCCUCACCUCUCUUUCAUUUAACGAUCCAUGACCAUCAGCACCCUGUUGCUGUUGAAGACGAUAUAAUGCACGAGACAAUCCAAAAGCAGUUGAAUAGAAGUACUGUCGCCGAGUCUCGAAAGGGAACAAGAAUGGGCAUGCUUUUGUCAACUGGUAACACCAUGAUGGAAGACUCCCACUGCACAAUGCAAGGGCAUCCUGAAUUUGACGAGCUAAUUUAGGGGUGAGCUUGCUGUUAAUAAAUUCUUCAGCAGAAACCCUACCACCAGUAGCAUUCAGCCUAUCCAAAGUUGAGAUUUUCCCUUCAGCAAAAUUGUCCGAAACUAACUGGGCUCUCAGACGUGGUGCCAGCUGAUUCAAACCCUCUAGUACGCGAAGCAGAACUAAUAUGUUAUAAGUAGGAUUAGAUUUCUCCAAAUCACAAGGAAGCUCCCCUUGUGAGAUGCUAUCUAAAAGUGACAUCCGCUGCAAUUGGCUGUCAGCGUUCAAACUGGAAGAACCAUUUUUUGCAGACUUUGUUGUGGUGGUAGAACUUGAGCCCCCAAUAGAAACCCUGUCAGUUUGGCCAUCUGCCCUCUGGUAUGUAAUUGUAUAUAUAUCACUCCAAAGCCUGCCACCAUCACUAGAUAUGAAAUCACUGCCAGCAUACCUGUCAUCAUCAUCCUCAUCAAGCACAAGUUGUCUUUGGACAGCCUGAUAUAUGGUCAAAUGUCUAUUUAGUUGUUUCCCACCAGCAGUAAAUAUCAACUUUGGAGGAUCAUUGGAACUACCAAACAGUGGUCGUCCUUGUCGAUCUCUGCUUCCUCUUAUACCUCUGCCAUUAGCAGUUCCAAGACCAGCCAUAGCAGCAGCAGCAAAUGACAAAGCACCCCUAGAGCCAUAAGAGUUACCACCCCUAAAAUCAGUAGAAUCUGAGCCCCUAACAGCAGCUGCUCUACUACCAGAACCAGAGGCAGGAGUAGUUUGGCUAUCACUUGCUGCUGGAGCACCACUGCUAUCCUCAGGCGCAUCACUCAAUUUUACAUCAUGUACUUUUUCAGGCAUGCAAACACGUAGAGAAUCAUCUCUCAGCACAUCUUCAUGAUCAUCGUCAUCAUCGUCGUCAUCGUCAUCGUCAGAGAUGUCAUCAUCUUCAAUCACCAAUGCAUCAUCAAUCUCAACAGGAGAUAUAUCCAAUUCCUCAUCCUCAGAACUAGAAUCCCCAUUUACUGAUUUCAUUUGGGCGUCUUUAUCAAGGGCUGCUCUUCUACGGGCAGCAUUUCUGGUUUGGGGUCCUUUUUCCUCCUCCUGGGCAUUCUUCAAAACAGCUUUCCCCUUUCCCUUAGAGGAGCUUGCGCUUUUCUCCUGUGACGAUUCCUUUCUAGCUGCAUCUCCUAUAUUAGCAGAUGAUCUGGAUCUUGAAGAAUGACGACGAGUGGUUGAUGGAGUGGCUGUAGAUGGAGAUAAUCCGCCAGCUCCAAUAGGGGUGGUCCCAGAUUCAGAAUUUCCCACAGAUGCUGAGGGCUUUUGACCGGAUUCACAUCGCUGAACCCGAGGCCAAAGAAAGUCUUCAACAGCUGCUAAACUUGCUAAUGGAUCAAUAAGAACUACAUUGGAAGAAUAAUCACGGAGAGAUUUUUCUCCUUGGGCCCGACAAAGACGCAACUUAAAAGGUUGAGACAAUGCACUUAAUCCAGAAGAAAGACGUGCACUUCCACUAGAUGACCUAGAUGAAUGGCUCAGAACAACAGGAAAACGUUCUAAGGAUGACAAGGCAUUUUGAAGCUUCUGAACCAAGACAGUCAUGGGAGCUGCACUCCCUUCAUCAAGACUAGAAGGAAGGGCAAGAGCAACAAACAACUUAUAUCUUCUAAGUGCCUGUUGACGAAGCUUGCACAAAUUAGCUUCUGAAAUUCUCUCCUUGGAAAAGUAACCACAAGAAAAAUAAUUCAGUAGGGCUGCUACAACCCCACUUCCAAUAAACUCAAAAGUGGAUACACCAUCCCCCUUGCUUAGUUCUGCCAGCAUCUCAGAUAUCACACCAAUCAAAUACUCUUCUUUAUUAGCAGAACUAUCAACAGCAUGAGACCCAGAUGCCUUGGAUUUUCCUUUUGCUUUAGUCUUUUGGUCAUCAACACCAACAUUCAACUUCAUGCAAAGAUUUUUUAACUGUAAAAGAUCAUCAGUAACUCCAACCUCAGAAGCCCCAGGAUCAGAUGGAAAAUAUUUAUCUUUGAAAGCCUUAGCACAUGCACUGACUGCCAUGCGAAGAUUGGUAUUAACCAUUGGGAUUUCAAUAGAACUUGGAGGUGAUCCAGCGAUUGUUGGAAUAGGAUUCUUGGAUUCUUCUGAUGAAUUUCCUUCAGAAUUUGAGUUGCCACUGCGACGUUUAUAACGUCUGGAACGAGAUGAUGUUCCAGACACGUAAUCAUUGUCCUUGUCAACAGAGGAUGCUUGGGUAGAAGUGGAAUUUGGAUUUCCAGCUAAGACAAGCUGAUCUACAGCAUGCACAACACCCUCUCUAACAAAUAUCUUGGAGAAAGUUCCAGGAAGCUUUUCCAUAAGAAUUUCAGCAAUUUGGAGGGCAGGAACCAAGACAUGAGGAUCUUUCCAUGCUAAUACACCAGCUAAGAAACUAGAUAUGUUUGUGACGCUCAAUAAAGACUGAAUCAUCUCUGAACCGGUGAAAUACAUCAACUUUCCAAUAACUGAAAGACAUUUGUGUCGAACAGGGCUGUUGACACUGGAACCAUAUAUCUGCUUGGCAAGCAUUCAAAGCUAUUAUCAUCAACUGAACCAAAAAAGAACCUGAACAACUUCUAGCCUACCAAAACUAACCUGAAUCAUCACAGGAAGAAUAUCCAUUCCAAAUUGCUGCAGAAGCUCUGGCUGAUCCUUCAACAAUUUCUCUCGGGCCGAAACCUCAGGAAGAUUUCCAUUUAGAUCAUCUUGCUUCACAGAACUGCUUGAAGGCAACUUUUUCAUAACAGGUCCUUUCACAAACAUAUUGGAGCUGGCAGGGAGGGAGAUUGUUCCUUGCGGAAGUGGCGGAAGAAGCUCAUUUGCUAGGUUGACAAUCUCAAAAAUCUGCUCAGCUGGUCUACUUAGAGCUGGAGGAACUGAUGAGUUAGCUGAAACACCAGAGCCUGAUAAUAUAUCUUUGAGAAUGCCACUGAUUCCAAGGAGAAGUAAAGUUUUGGCUCCUAGAGGGGACCCACUCGCAAAUGUGGAAAGCAGUCGGAUUAAGCCCGUGUAUGUAGGUGGGCUUAGUGAUGCCUGUCCACCUCCAGAAUUACUAGUGGAAAUAAGAGAGGCAGCUUGUGUGACCAGUCCAUGAUUACAUAGUUCAUCCAAUUUGUCUGGAGAUGAAGCAAAUGCUUCAGCAAUCCGGGUUAAACAAACAGAAGCAUGCUCCAAUACCUUUGCAUCAUGAUAGUGAAGAAGAUUUGUCAACAGAGGAACGGCUUCCAUCACAAAAUCAGCAGCAUCUGAUGAGAGUUUCUUGCACAUAUUUGCAGCAGUAGCUAAAGCCACCCGCUGGACUCCAGUGGAGAAGAAAUCCAGAUAUGAAAGCACAGCCAUAAGAGCACCAGCUCGCAGACAAGCAUUUGGGUGCUCCUGAGAUAUCUUUUUUAGCGCCUGCAGGGACUGUUCAGCCAAGUCCAUAUAUUCAAUAGUAAGCAACCUAGCAACAAAGCAUGAAACAGCACCAUAAUGCACAACGGCCGCGCAAGAUGAAGGUAACACAUCACAUAAAUGAGUGAUUGCCCUAGCAGCAAGCAGCAUUAUAUCCGGAUUACUCUCAUGGUUCAGUAACCCAACAAGCACUGGUACAAAUGAAUCCACCGAGAAAGUACUCAAUGACUCCUCAGUUCCAAUUGAGAGCAUCUCACAAAGCUGAGUUAAAGCCUCCACUUGCUUCCCUUCCUCCCCAUCUGAUCGCAAACCUGAUAAAAUCUUCUUCAGUCUGCCGGAUUGAUGUGAGGAUGAAGCAGAUGGCAUCCCAGAUGAAGGCAGCAGAUCAUCAAGUCCAGCCCCAAGCUUGCGCAAUAGGCCUUGAAGAGCACUACUUGCUGAGGUUAAAUUCUGGUGGAAAGUUCCGAUUCCACCACCUUCACUAUCGUCGUCAUCAUCGUCAUUGGGAUUAUUAUUUCCGGAUUCCAUAUUUAAGCCCAAGCUGUCCCUCUCUCUAUCUCUGACAUCCCUAUUGUCUCGAACCCUAACGUCGUGCUCUUUCUCCUUGCCUUUGUCGGAAGAUUCGCUUUUGUUACGACGGGAACGGGAUGAUGACUCGACAGGGGUAGUAGAGUCCAUGAGUGCAGGACAAGCGCGAGUAGAGCGAGUGCGAGCUGUGGCAAUGGCGAUUGAAGGAGCGGUGGCGGCAGCAGUGGUGGAGGUGGAAGAGGAAGUAGCAGUGGCGGCAGAAAGGCGGGAGCGCUUCUGGGAGCGGGUGGUAGGACCUGAGGAGGAAGAUGAGGGGGCUGUUGAGGAGGCCUCCGCCCGCUUCCGGCUCCGAGUUUCCAUACAAGAACUAAACCGCCCCGAUUAAAUCCGCGGUCGCGAUUCACGCGGCAACGGAUCGGGUAAUAAUCCACUGCAUCUGGACGCAAGAAAACCAAAACACGCCUCAAAUUUGAGAAGGAAAAUACACUGCUCGUUUGUAUCGAAAUCAAACAAUCCAAACAAAGCACCAAUCCGAAGCCCUAGAAAUUAUAUACUAUUAAAUAAUUAGGACGAGAAAUGAGAAGAAUUGGGUGUAUAAAAUUGGGAAAUUAGGGAUUUGCGAGGAAGAGGGAGGUGGAAGAAGAAGAGAAAACCCUAAAGAGAGGGAGAGUGCGGACUUCUCUUUAUAUGUGUUGUUGAUGAUAGU